This 490-nucleotide ribosomal RNA is filed under the name uncultured bacterium. RNAcentral's name for it is "partial 16S ribosomal RNA". It matches the Rfam family "Bacterial small subunit ribosomal RNA", at positions 30 to 507 of the family's 1533-position model. The record is from RNAcentral.
AUUGAACGCUGGCGGCAGGCUUAACACAUGCAAGUCGAACGGUAACAUAAAGGAGCUUGCUUCUUUGAUGACGAGUGGCGGACGGGUGAGUAAUGCUUGGGAAUCUAGCUUAUGGAGGGGGAUAACUACGGGAAACUGUAGCUAAUACCGCGUAGAAUCGGGAGAUGAAAGUGUGGGACCUUCGGGCCACAUGCCAUAGGAUGAGCCCAAGUGGGAUUAGGUAGUUGGUGAGGUAAAGGCUCACCAAGCCGACGAUCUCUAGCUGGUCUGAGAGGAUGUCCAGCCACACUGGGACUGAGACACGGCCCAGACUCCUACGGGAGGCAGCAGUGGGGAAUAUUGCGCAAUGGGGGCAACCCUGACGCAGCCAUGCCGCGUGAAUGAAGAAGGCCUUCGGGUUGUAAAGUUCUUUCGGUAGCGAGGAAGGCAUUUAGUUUAAUAGACUAGGUGAUUGACGUUAACUACAGAAGAAGCACCGGCUAACUCCGUG